Molecule: long non-coding RNA, 1001 nt
Organism: Otolemur garnettii (small-eared galago)
Lineage: Eukaryota; Metazoa; Chordata; Mammalia; Primates; Galagidae
Exons: 3
Source: RefSeq, a predicted model, not a curated record
GAGCGGGCGAUGGGUCCGAGGUCGAGGGCCGCCCCCCCCCCGUGGUCAAGCGGCGACUGGGCCCACUUGGGGUGGAGACUGGGAGGCGGGAUCCAAGGUUGAGAGCCGGACACUCGAGACCGACCGGUGACUAAACCCACUGGGGCCGGGGACCGCGGGGCUGAAGUUGAGGAUCCGGGCAACAGGAUCCGAGUUCCGGGUCGAGGGCCGCGCAACCGUGUCUGACUGGGGGGACUAAACCUACCGUGGGUCGAAAUGGGGAAGUUUGGGAUACAAGAGGCGACAUUCCAUGUCGAGGUCCUUGUACACCGGACCAACUGGGGAUUUCGCCUAACGGAGUGGAGACCGUCGUGCUGGGACUUGGGAGGCGAGAUCUGAAAUCCGGCACCACACACAGGGGAUCGAGCCGGGACUGGGGCCCACUGGCAUGAGGUGGCACUGUGUGUGCCCAGCACUGGUCCCACGGGAUGGCGACGGCGGGUUUUGAUUUGGCGUCGGGGCAUUGGGGUUCGCAGACUCAGCAGGUAGGGCCUGGCCGGCGUGAUGAAGGCUACGAAGGGCGGCGUAAGACGGCCCGUACUCGGUAGGGCACUGGCGGCCGUCGGAGGACUUUCAUUUUAGAAAUGAAAGCCCUACGCUCACGUGGCCGAAGGCGCCCGCGAGUUGCACAAGACUGCCUUGUGGGAAGCUGGCUCCGCCCUCCUCCCACGCCCGCCGCCAGAGCCCCGCUCCCCGGCCCUGAGGCCUUUCUUCCUCCUCGGUGGCCGCGUGUGUGCUCCCAGCGACGGGGUGUGCGUCGCUUUCCUGUUCUAAAGGUUAAGAACAAAAAGAUGCACCUGGAGUUUCCUCGGAGCGCUCUGCAUUGUUAAGCUUCGGGUGGAAUUUGAGGGCCUUGAGCUGUAAGCCUUGCUACUUAAUAGAAAUCUGCCCUGCUCAACUCCGUGGACAAUUUGUUACCUACGGGAAGUGUCUCCCACUGAAGGCAUCCAAAGUUCUUUAAG